AGAUGAAGCUAGCCUUCUCAGCUAGCCUUCAGAUUUGUCUGCUAACAGUAAAAAUACUAUAAUAAAUCGGUAACAUAUGUUGCCAGGCAAGGAAAAGUGAUAUAAAUAAAGAGACUGGGAGACCCAAACCAAGUACAAUGUGAAAAGAAUUUAAAUUUCAAUCUAUUUGCUGGCUAAUUACCAUUUGAAAAGUAAUUUGAAAGUUUUACUGUUAUUUGCUGAUAUUCUUCCUCAUUUUUCUUUUUUUCCUCUUCAGAUUGCAUUCUUACCCAAAUACUCUUCGUGAUUGCCUGCUUUGCGGCUUUGGGCAAUGAAGACUUUCUCCAGAUUUGAUGGUGAACAGGCCUAAUCCUGAAGACAGACUUUUUGGGU
This 372-nucleotide long non-coding RNA is filed under the name Homo sapiens (human). RNAcentral describes it as "non-protein coding LINC01798:22". Lineage: Eukaryota; Metazoa; Chordata; Mammalia; Primates; Hominidae. The record is from RNAcentral.